This 524-nucleotide ribosomal RNA is filed under the name Takifugu rubripes (torafugu). RNAcentral's name for it is "partial 16S ribosomal RNA". It matches the Rfam family "Bacterial large subunit ribosomal RNA", at positions 1915 to 2591 of the family's 2925-position model. Lineage: Eukaryota; Metazoa; Chordata; Actinopteri; Tetraodontiformes; Tetraodontidae. The record is from RNAcentral.
ACUAUAUGUUUAACGGCCGCGGUAUUUUGACCGUGCAAAGGUAGCGCAAUCACUUGUCCUUUAAAUGUGGACCUGUAUGAAUGGCAUAACGAGGGCUUAGCUGUCUCCUUUCUCAAGUCAAUGAACUUGAUCUCCCCGUGCAGAAGCGGGGAUAAAACCAUAAGACGAGAAGACCCUAUGGAGCUUUAGACAAAAAACAGCCCCUGUCAAUAAACCCUAAAUAAAGGGAAUAAACCUAGUGAACCUGUUUUAAUGUCUUUGGUUGGGGCGACCGCGGGGUAACAAAAAACCCCCAUGUGGAAUGAAAACACCCUUUUUAAACCCAAGAGUCACCACUCUAGGAUACAGAACAUCUGACCAAUAAUGAUCCGGCUAAAGCCGAUUAACGAACCGAGUUACCCUAGGGAUAACAGCGCAAUCCUCUUUUAGAGUCCAUAUCGACAAGAGGGUUUACGACCUCGAUGUUGGAUCAGGACAUCCUAAUGGUGCAGCCGCUAUUAAAGGUUCGUUUGUUCAACGAUUAA